AAGAUUAUGAUAUGGAAUGCCCAUACCCCUUCAGUAAAAGUGAUGUUAUCAGUGUAGUGCCUUCGUGUAAACAUGUUGGAUGCUCUUCUGCUGAUGGACGAACUUUACUAGAAUCAUCUAAGGUUGCUCUUGACAAAGGGAAGUUGGAAGAUGCUGUAAUGUAUGGAACAAAGGCCCUGGCAAAAAUGAUAGCUGUAUGUGGCCCCUAUCACCGUGCCACUGCAAGUGCAUAUAGCCUCCUGGCUGUUGUCCUUUAUCACACCGGAGAUUUCAAUCAGGCAACAAUU
RNAcentral lists this unclassified non-coding RNA (287 nucleotides) under Hevea brasiliensis (rubber tree). The record is from RNAcentral. Lineage: Eukaryota; Viridiplantae; Streptophyta; Magnoliopsida; Malpighiales; Euphorbiaceae.